GAAUACUAAGGCGAUCGAGAGAAUCGUGGUGAAGGAACUCGGCAAAAUACCCCCGUAACUUCGGAAUAAGGGGGACCGGAGGGGUGCAUAGCCCUGAAGGUCGCAGAGACCACGCCCAAGCGACUGUUUACCAAAAACACAGGUCCGUGCCAAGUUGAAAGACGAUGUAUACGGACUGACUCCUGCCCGGUGCUGGAAGGUUAAGGGGAAGUGUCAGCGCAAGCGAAGCACUGAACUUAAGCCCCAGUAAACGGCGGUGGUAACUAUAACCAUCCUAAGGUAGCGAAAUUCCUUGUCGGGUAGUUUGACUGGGGCGGUCGCCUCCCAAAAGGUAACGGAGGCGCCCAAAGGUUCCCUCAGCCUGGUUGGCAAUCAGGUGUUGAGUGUAAAUGCACAAGGGAGCUUGACUGUGAGACAGACAUGUCGAGCAGGGGACGAAAGUCGGGAUUAGUGAUCUUAUGGUGGCACGUGGAAGCGCCAUAACUCAAC
RNAcentral lists this ribosomal RNA (489 nucleotides) under uncultured bacterium. Its description in RNAcentral is "bacterial LSU rRNA". It matches the Rfam family "Bacterial large subunit ribosomal RNA", at positions 1676 to 2453 of the family's 2925-position model. The record is from RNAcentral.